AGACCUUUGGGGCCAGCAGAACAGUAUCGGAGAUCGUCCAGUACCAAGCUUGCCAAAGUACACAGUCUCCUGCCAAUUCUGACUAGAGAAGGAUAGCUGGAGCCACUCAGUCACUGAGGAUUCUGGGGACUCAGCAGGAAUGAGUCAUAGACUGAGGGGCAAGCAAGGACAAGCUACAGUUCACACUCUGCCACUCAACAGGACCCCUUCCCACUGCUAAAUUCCAGGAGAGGUUGGAAAGUUAAAGAAGGGGCCUGACAGACAGCUCAUCAGAGAGACAUCCUUGCACCAGCAGAAUCGCCUGAUUUAAUCCCAAAGACCUGUGUGAAGGCUGAAGUAGAGAACUGAGUCCUGCAGACCAUCCUCUAACCUCCACAUAAACAAACAUACACAAUGAAUAAAUUAAUGCAAUAAUACUUU
This 420-nucleotide long non-coding RNA is filed under the name Mus pahari (shrew mouse). RNAcentral describes it as "lncRNA (MGP_PahariEiJ_G0002824.1)". The record is from RNAcentral. Lineage: Eukaryota; Metazoa; Chordata; Mammalia; Rodentia; Muridae.